GGGGUCGUAGCUCAAUUGGUAGAGUACUUGAAUGGCAUUCAAGAGGUCGGCGGUUCGAUUCCGCUCGACUCCACCA
This 76-nucleotide transfer RNA is filed under the name Rickettsiales endosymbiont of Peranema trichophorum. RNAcentral describes it as "tRNA-Ala". It matches the Rfam family "tRNA". Rfam says of the family: Transfer RNA (tRNA) molecules are approximately 80 nucleotides in length. Lineage: Bacteria; Pseudomonadati; Pseudomonadota; Alphaproteobacteria; Rickettsiales. The record is from RNAcentral.